RNAcentral lists this transfer RNA (69 nucleotides) under Encrasicholina heteroloba (shorthead anchovy). RNAcentral describes it as "tRNA-Arg". The record is from RNAcentral. Lineage: Eukaryota; Metazoa; Chordata; Actinopteri; Clupeiformes; Engraulidae.
AGAGAGUUAGUCCAACCAAGACUUCUAAUUUCGGCUUAGACAAUUAUGGUGAAAACCCAUAACCCUCUU